Molecule: ribosomal RNA, 191 nt
Filed under: uncultured bacterium
Lineage: Bacteria
Description: partial 16S ribosomal RNA
Rfam family: Bacterial small subunit ribosomal RNA
Source: RNAcentral
ACGGGAGGCAGCAGUAGGGAAUCUUCCACAAUGGGCGCAAGCCUGAUGGAGCAACACCGCGUGAGUGAAGAAGGGUUUCGGCUCGUAAAACUCUGUUGUUGAAGAAGAACGUGCGUGAGAGUAACUGUUCAUGCAGUGACGGUAUUCAACCAGAAAGUCACGGCUAACUACGUGCCAGCAGCCGCGGUAAU